AUUGAACGCUGGCGGAAUGCUUUACACAUGCAAGUCGAGCGGCAGCGCGGGGGCAACCCUGGCGGCGAGCGGCGAACGGGUGAGUAAUACAUCGGAACGUGUCCUUCAAGUGGGGGAUAGCUCGGCGAAAGCCGGAUUAAUACCGCAUAAGCUCUGAGGAGGAAAGCGGGGACGUGGUAACGGCCUCGCGCUGUUGGAGCGGCCGAUGUCGGAUUAGCUAGUUGGUGGGGUAAAGGCCCACCAAGGCGACGAUCCGUAGCUGGUCUGAGAGGAUGAUCAGCCACACUGGAACUGAGACACGGUCCAGACUCCUACGGGAGGCAGCAGU
RNAcentral lists this ribosomal RNA (328 nucleotides) under uncultured bacterium. Its description in RNAcentral is "bacterial SSU rRNA". It matches the Rfam family "Bacterial small subunit ribosomal RNA", at positions 29 to 355 of the family's 1533-position model. The record is from RNAcentral.